AUGAAGAGGAGGCGCAGCAACCGUCUACAAGAGCAAAAUCUAGUGAAAGAAUUCGCAGAAGAAGUUACAGAACCCCUAACAAGUGAUCCACUCAAUCGUAUAUCAUAUGCUCCCGAUAUUUAUAAUCCCGGAACUUCAAAAAGCGCAAAUAAGAAUAUACUAUUGGUUACCUCAGGAGUCGAAACUUCUGACACUAAUGAAGAAGCGAUAUCCUCUUGCCCUUCGAAGAAACCUAAAGAAUCUAAAUCAAAAUCAAAACUAGAAUACAUAGGAGAGGCCACAGAACCCCCAGCUACUGAUUCACUUCCUCUUACAUCACAUGCUCCUGAUAUCGCUAAUCCCGGAAUUACAAAAAUAGCAAAUAAGAAUGUAUUACUGGAUGGCUCAAAAGUAAAAACUUCAGACACAGAUGAAAAUUGAUAUACUCUUGCUCUCCGAAAAAACCGAAAAAAUCUAAAUCUAAAAGAAACCUGUAAGUAUAUGCAUAACUUUCCGUCAUUUUUCAUUCCUCAAUACUGUCAGAAAAUGUUUAAUCGGGUUUAGACUAUUUCUAAAGAAAACUAACUUAUGAUAAUAUUUGUUUUAUUACAAAAAUUUAAUUAUGGAACUGAUACAACUCAAAAUUAAAAUCCCUUAUUUCUUUACCAAUUUUCGGCGAAGGCGAUGACGUCAUGCUAAUUCGUAAGAGAAUUUUUUUUUAAGCACUUACACUCAAUGGAAUCAAUAAUUGGAUUGCAUUUUGCAAAAAGGAACCACUAGCAUUGCAAUGAUGCUAAGAUUGUGCAACUUCAUCCUUUGCAAUAAAAUUGCGGAAAUCGUGAAAAACUAUGAAAUUUAGAUGGUAAUUUUUGUCUUAAUUUCACAGUUUUUAGCGAGUAAAAUAGAAACUAUUAAUGGAUAAUCGGGGUUUUCCUCCAAGACAAAAGAAGUUGCACAAUCUUAGCAACAUUGCAAUUCUAGUAGUUCCUUUUUUCAAAAUCCAAUCCAAUUCUAUGCCACAAAACGUGUUGGGCCCGUCUGUUUCUUGUCCUUGGCCGAGUUCAAACUAAACAGUCGUCGUGAUUGUACGUCUUCGAACAUUAAUUUUAUCUUAUUUGAAAAAAAAUGAUUUCUCUUCAUAAAAUAAUGUGCAAUGAAAUCUUAAUUAUUAAUUUUAUUUCCUCAUUUUCCAGAGAAUGCACAGGAGAAGCCACAGAACCCCCAACUAUUGAUCUACUUUCCCUUACAUCAUAUUCUUCCAAAAUCUAUAAUAUUAUUUAUCCUCCCAAUUUAUAUACAAAUGUAAGAAAUAAAUAGAAAAUUGUUACUACUCGUCGAUAAGAAUAAAAAAAGUAAUAAAAAUAUGAAAAAAGAUACUUGUAUUUUUAAUUCACUAUUUUCCUAUGUUCCUGCAAUUUUUCCCUUCUGAAAACAUUCAAUUCCUAAUAAAUACAAAGGCGCGGUGCUACGGUGAACGCUCUCCAACGUCAUAACGUUGGAACCGUCAACUUGUUUUCCUGCUUUAGACGCAAUCGAGAGCAGCGUUCUGCAAU
This 1532-nucleotide long non-coding RNA is filed under the name Bemisia tabaci. Its description in RNAcentral is "lncRNA ENSASIAIIG004330". The record is from RNAcentral. Lineage: Eukaryota; Metazoa; Arthropoda; Insecta; Hemiptera; Aleyrodidae.